GACGAACGCUGGCGGCGUGCUUAACACAUGCAAGUCGAGCGGUAAGGCCCUUUCGGGGGUACACGAGCGGCGAACGGGUGAGUAACACGUGGGUGACCUGCCCUCAGCUCUGGGAUAAGCCUGGGAAACCGGGUCUAAUACUGGAUAUGACUCCAUGACGCAUGUUGUGGGGUGGAAAGCCUUGUGCGGCUGAGGAUGGGCCCGCGGCCUAUCAGCUUGUUGGUGGGGUGANGGCCUACCAAGGCGACGACGGGUAGCCGGCCUGAGAGGGCGACCGGCCACACUGGGACUGAGACACGGCCCAGACUCCGUACGGGAGGCAGGCAGGUGGGGAAUCUUGCGCAAUGGGCGAAAGCCUGACGCAGCGACGCCGCGUGA
This 378-nucleotide ribosomal RNA is filed under the name uncultured bacterium. RNAcentral describes it as "bacterial SSU rRNA". It matches the Rfam family "Bacterial small subunit ribosomal RNA", at positions 28 to 404 of the family's 1533-position model. The record is from RNAcentral.